GAAUUCGCCCUUAGAGUUUGAUCCUGGCUCAGGACGAACGCUGGCGGCGUGCCUAACACAUGCAAGUCGAACGGGGUUACACGAGGUGCUUGCACCAUGUGGAACCUAGUGGCGGACGGGUGAGUAACGCGUGAGCAACCUGCCUUUCAGAGGGGGAUAACAACGGGAAACCGUUGCUAAUACCGCAUGAUACCGGAUGAUGGCAUCAUUGACCGGUCAAAGGAGCAAUCCGCUGAAAGAUGGGCUCGCGUCCCAUUAGGUAGUUGGUGGGGUAAAGGCCUACCAAGCCGACGAUGGGUAGCCGGACUGAGAGGUUGAUCGGCCACAUUGGAACUGAGACACGGUCCAAACUCCUACGGGAGGCAGCAGUGGGGAAUAUUGCACAAUGGGGGAAACCCUGAUGCAGCGACGCCGCGUGAGGGAAGACGGUUUUCGGAUUGUAAACCUCUGUCUUUAGGGACGAAAAAAUGACGGUACCUAAGGAGGAAGCCACGGCUAACUACGUGCCAGCAGCCGCGGUAAUACGUAGGUGGCAAGCGUUGUCCGGAAUUACUGGGUGUAAAGGGAGCGUAGGCGGGGAGACAAGUUGAAUGUCUAAACUAUCGGCUUAACUGAUAGUCGCGUUCAAAACUAUCACUCUUGAGUGCAGUAGAGGUAGGCGGAAUUCCUAGUGUAGCGGUGACAUGCGUAGAUAUUAGGAGGAACACCAGUGGCGAAGGCGGCCUACUGGGCUGUAACUGACGCUGAGGCUCGAAAGCGUGGGUAGCAAACAGGAUUAGAUACCCUGGUAGUCCACGCCGUAAACGAUGAUUACUAGGUGUGGGGGGACUGACCCCUUCCGUGCCGGAGUUAACACAAUAAGUAAUCCACCUGGGGAGUACGUUCGCAAGAAUGAAACUCAAAGGAAUUGACGGGGGCCCGCACAAGCGGUGGAGCAUGUGGUUUAAUUCGAAGCAACGCGAAGAACCUUACCAGGUCUUGACAUCGAUCUAAAGGCUCCAGAGAUGGAGAGAUAGCUAUAGAGAAGACAGGUGGUGCAUGGUUGUCGUCAGCUCGUGUCGUGAGAUGUUGGGUUAAGUCCCGCAACGAGCGCAACCCCUGUUGCCAGUUGCCAGCAUUAAGUUGGGGACUCUGGCGAGACUGCCGGUGACAAGCCGGAGGAAGGCGGGGAUGACGUCAAAUCAUCAUGCCCCUUAUGACCUGGGCUACACACGUGCUACAAUGGACAGAGCAGAGGGAAGCGAAGCCGCGAGGUGGAGCGAAACCCAGAAAACUGUUCUCAGUUCGGACUGCAGUCUGCAACUCGACUGCACGAAGUUGGAAUCGCUAGUAAUCGCGAAUCAGCAUGUCGCGGUGAAUACGUUCUCGGGCCUUGCACACACCGCCCGUCA
RNAcentral lists this ribosomal RNA (1391 nucleotides) under uncultured bacterium. RNAcentral describes it as "bacterial SSU rRNA". It matches the Rfam family "Bacterial small subunit ribosomal RNA". The record is from RNAcentral.